GGAAGAGAGAGAGAAAAAGAGAGAGAGAGAGAUGAGGAGAGAGGGUGAAAGAAAGAGCGCAAACUGCAAGAGGUCUCCUGCUCACUUGGCGCAAAUGCCUCAUCACCAUGAUGCGCUUCAGCUGUUGUGAAAUGUUAAAGGCUCCAAACUUGAGGUGAAAAUGGAUUCUCCGAAACGAGCUCGUGUCAUGAGGAGAAAAAUGAGCUCCAUCAUUAGACAGAUGACGUGCGUCAGUGGCUCAGAGACGCUCAUCAGUCUGCGGAACAGAUGAUGUUCCUCAAAAGAAACCCCCCCAUGUAUCAACACAAGACAGCAAUCUGCAAGAUGCGCUGCAGAUCACAGCCUGUUAGAGUCCUUCCUAAGGAAGUAUAGCCUUGAGGCUAAUACAAUUCAAAUAAUGACUUUACUAAUGAAGACUAACAUACAAGUGUCAUCCGGAGUUCUUCUAUGUUUGUAAGUAUUAUAACAUGUGAAACAUUCCCUCUCCACUCAACUCAGGGCCAGUCAGCUGCCUCCCAGCCCAGCUAUGGCUCCCCCUAGCCGUGCCUCCAUAUUUCCUUGUUAGUGCUCACCAUAAUGCCCUGACCCUCCCUGAUAUAUCACACCAAUAAGACACCAAAAUACACCUUAAAACCUCAAUAUCUCUGUCAAAAUGUGGAGUAUACAGUCUCUAUCUGCCUCCCAGCCAACAUUGGGCUCCAUAGGCCAUAGCAGAACAGAGGA
This is a long non-coding RNA of Lates calcarifer (barramundi perch), 723 nucleotides long. RefSeq lists it as uncharacterized. The record is from RefSeq and is a predicted model, not a curated record. The transcript is spliced from 5 exons. Lineage: Eukaryota; Metazoa; Chordata; Actinopteri; Centropomidae.